GGACUACUGGGGUAUCUAAUCCCGUUCGCUACCCACGCUUUCGUGCUUGAGUGUCAGGAACGCGCCAGUCUGCUGCCUUCGCUUUCGGUGUUCCCCAAGAUAUCAACGGAUUUCACCCCUACACCUUGAGUUCCACAGACCUCUCACGCCCUCGAGUCAUGCCGUUUCGCGCGCGGAUCCGGAGUUGAGCUCCGGGUUUUGACGCGCGACUAACACGACCACCUACGCACUCUUUACGCCCAGUAAUUCCGGGUAACGCUUGGGGCCUCUGUAUUACCGCGGCUGCUGGCAC
RNAcentral lists this ribosomal RNA (292 nucleotides) under uncultured bacterium. RNAcentral describes it as "partial 16S ribosomal RNA". The record is from RNAcentral.